Molossus molossus (Pallas's mastiff bat) is the source of this 140-nucleotide long non-coding RNA. RefSeq lists it as uncharacterized. NCBI's taxonomy places the organism in Eukaryota, Metazoa, Chordata, Mammalia, Chiroptera, Molossidae. The record is from RefSeq and is a predicted model, not a curated record. The transcript is spliced from 3 exons.
CGUUCUGACAGGACCCCCCCAGGAUGCCGCCCAAGAAAGGAAGACAAUGGAGGAAGCAAAAUACACUGAGAUUCCAGUGCAGCAACUCAAAUUCGGGGAUGUUUUAAAGUUUAAUUGCCUUAUUUUGAUUAUGAAUGGAA